This 555-nucleotide ribosomal RNA is filed under the name uncultured archaeon. RNAcentral describes it as "bacterial SSU rRNA". It matches the Rfam family "Archaeal small subunit ribosomal RNA", at positions 876 to 1429 of the family's 1478-position model. The record is from RNAcentral.
GCACCACAAGGGGUGAAGCCUGCGGUUCAAUUGGACUCAACGCCGGGAAACUUACCAGGGGAGACAGUAGAAUGACGGUCAGGUUGACGACCUUACCUAACGAGCUGAGAGGAGGUGCAUGGCCGUCGCCAGUUCGUGCUGUGAGGUAUCCUGUUAAGUCAGGCAACGAACGAGAUCCGCGCCUUUAUUUGCCAACAAGAAGUCACGACUUCGUUGGGAACACUAAAGGGACCGCCUUCGAUAAGACGGAGGAAGGAGCGGGCAAAGGCAGGUCAGUAUGCCCCGAAACCCCUGGGCUACACGCGGGCUGCAAUGAUAUGAACAAUGGGCAAUAACUCCGAAAGGAGAAACCAAUCCCGAAAUCAUAUCUCAGUGGGGAUUGUCGGGGGGUAACCCGCUGACAUGAACGUGGAAUCCCUAGUAAUCGUGUGUCAUCAUCGCACGGUGAAUACGUCUCUGCUCCUUGCACACACCGCCCGUCGCUCCAUCCGAGUAUGCUAAAAAUGAGGUCUGGUCAGAAUGGUCAUAUCGAGUUUCUAGUAUGCGAGGAGGGAG